Long non-coding RNA from Cygnus olor (mute swan), 727 nucleotides. RefSeq lists it as uncharacterized. The transcript has 2 exons. The record is from RefSeq and is a predicted model, not a curated record. NCBI's taxonomy places the organism in Eukaryota, Metazoa, Chordata, Aves, Anseriformes, Anatidae.
UACACUUUGCAUGUGAUUAAUGUUCAUGGUGGAUCAUAAAACUGCAUGCAAACAUUUCUGCAAGACUCCAUUGACACCUACAGGGAAUGAUCACGUGUCAUUUAGCCAGAACAUUCACAGAGGAACUAAUCAGUCAAUUGGUACUACACUGAGACUAUACUUGGUUAGUUCAAAAUGAAACAGGUAAAUAUGCCUAACACUGGUUACGUCUCACCAGACUGAAGACAGAGGAGCUUACUCUGUGCAUACAGGCUCCCAGCUUGAGUCUGUACAAGUCUGAUCCACCUUGCCAAGCAGCCAGGGCCCCAGCUGAAACUCAAGAGAAGGCCAGCCAAACUCAGGAGAACGCAUAUGUCUUUCUAGACAGUAGUCAAAUCUAACAACUUCAAUAAGAGGUUUUAACCGAUGCAUUUGAAAAUGAAAUGUGAUAAGGAAAUUAUGUUCUUCCUCAGCUGGUGUAUUGAAUGUACAGAGAAAAUAUCUGACAAAUUGAAGAUGAUGGCAUUUAAGAUGGAUCAGGGUGCCCCAAUAAUCCAGCGCAAACAUGAAGGGAACUUACCUAGAAUGUUUUUACAGAACAAGUUAAGGACCAAGAUGAUCACUACACAUGACUUCCAAGAUGUAUUUUAAAAUUUAAAAGCUAUUUUUUAAACCGAGUUAUUCUCGUAUUAAUCCACAUAAAUGAUUUUCAUUUAAUAUAAACCCAUCCAGUCUUCACCUGGAGAUA